ACACAACCUGAGCCACGAGUGGCACCAACUCAAACAGUAAAAAUUGUACCAAACGACCCCAAAAGCAGCCGUGUCCUAGCUGGCAGCGCGGCUGCAGUAGCCUUGGAAACCUCGGCCACGCCGGAGCCUGCUGCUGCCUGCCUGGGAAAUCUAAAAGACAAGAUAACAGAAACCAGAGCACAAAAAUGAAGAAGAGUUUAUUGACCCUCUUUAUCAGGGAGUGGAAAUACAACGGGAUGGAACCACAAGAAGAAAUAAAAUGUAUUGGUUUAAUCUACAAAAUGGCAUGAAGACAAGUCAAAGUUAAAACCAAGGAAAAGAACAUCUAAACUCAAAGGAAUGUCUGAAUAUGUAUAAACUCUUAAGAAUAUGCUUGUACCCCCUGGAAUGUAACAGUAUCUAGAGAACGUGGUGCUAAGUUAACCAUAUGCUUUUGGCAAAUAGCCAAGCACCUCAGCGCUGGAUUUUAUCCCUUUUAUCUCUUAAUAAACUUUUAUAAAAUUUUUAAAUAGUGAACUGUUUCUCACAUGACUAAGCUGCACAGAAGUGUAUCUGAGGAAGUGUAACAAAAUAAGUAAUUCUAUGAAGUUGUAAUAAAGAUUUUUCUUUUUGUUC
Serinus canaria (Common canary) is the source of this 615-nucleotide long non-coding RNA. RefSeq lists it as uncharacterized. NCBI's taxonomy places the organism in Eukaryota, Metazoa, Chordata, Aves, Passeriformes, Fringillidae. The transcript is spliced from 2 exons. The record is from RefSeq and is a predicted model, not a curated record.